This 416-nucleotide ribosomal RNA is filed under the name uncultured bacterium. RNAcentral describes it as "bacterial SSU rRNA". It matches the Rfam family "Bacterial small subunit ribosomal RNA", at positions 358 to 773 of the family's 1533-position model. The record is from RNAcentral.
GGAAUAUUGCGCAAUGGGCGAAAGCCUGACGCAGCCACGCCGCGUGCAGGAUGACACCCCUACGGGGCGUAAACUGCUUUUGUGUGAGAAGAACACCCCGGAUUCCCGGGCUUGACGGUAUCACACGAAUAAGGACCGGCUAACUCCGUGCCAGCAGCCGCGGUAAUACGGAGGGUCCAAGCGUUGUCCGGAUUCAUUGGGUGUAAAGGGUGCGCAGGUGGGCCUGUAAGUCAGAGGUGAAAUCUCGCAGCUUAACUGUGGAACUGCCUUUGAUACUGCAGGUCUUGAGUCCUGGAGGGGUUGUCGGAAUUCGUGGUGUAGCGGUGAAAUGCGUAGAUAUCACGAGGAACGCCGGAGGUGUAGACGGACAACUGGACAGGUACUGACACUGAGGCACGAAAGCGUGGGGAGCGAAC